GACGAACGCUGGCGGCGUGCUUAACACAUGCAAGUCGAACGAUGAAGCUGGAGCUUGCUCCGGUGGAUUAGUGGCGAACGGGUGAGUAACACGUGAGCAAUCUGCCCUUGACUCUGGGAUAACUGCUAGAAAUGGUAGCUAAUACCGGAUACGACCCUCGGUGGCAUCACCAGGGGGUGGAAAGAAUUUCGGUCAAGGAUGGACUCGCGGCCUAUCAGCUAGUUGGUGAGGUAACGGCUCACCAAGGCGACGACGGGUAGCCGGCCUGAGAGGGUGACCGGCCACACUGGGACUGAGACACGGCCCAGACUCCUACGGGAGGCAGCAGUGGGGAAUAUUGCACAAUGGGCGCAAGCCUGAUGCAGCAACGCCGCGUGAGGGAUGACGGCCUUCGGGUUGUAAACCUCUUUUAGUAGGGAAGAAGCGAAAGUGACGGUACCUGCAGAAAAAGCACCGGCUAACUACGUGCCAGCCGCCGCAGUAA
Molecule: ribosomal RNA, 484 nt
Filed under: uncultured bacterium
Lineage: Bacteria
Description: partial 16S ribosomal RNA
Rfam family: Bacterial small subunit ribosomal RNA
Source: RNAcentral